Molecule: ribosomal RNA, 460 nt
Filed under: uncultured bacterium
Lineage: Bacteria
Description: partial 16S ribosomal RNA
Rfam family: Bacterial small subunit ribosomal RNA
Source: RNAcentral
CCUACGGGAGGCAGCAGUGAGGAAUAUUGGUCAAUGGACGAGAGUCUGAACCAGCCAAGUCGCGUGAAGGAUGACUGCCCUAUGGGUUGUAAACUUCUUUUAUAUGGGAAUAAAAUGUCCCACGUGUGGGAUUUUGUAUGUACCAUAUGAAUAAGGAUCGGCUAACUCCGUGCCAGCAGCCGCGGUAAUACGGUGGAUCCGAGCGUUAUCCGGACUUUUUGGGUUUAAAGGGAGCGUAGGUGGAUUGUUAAGUCAGUUGUGAAAGUUUGCGGCUCAACCGUAGAAUUGCAGUUGAAACUGGCAGUCUUGAGUACAGUAGAGGUGAGCGGAAUUCGUGGUGUAGCGGUGAAAUGCUUAGAUAUCACGAAGAACUCCGAUUGCGAAGGCAGUUCACUGGACUGCAACUGACACUGAGGCUCGAAAGUGUGGGUAUCAAACAGGAUUAGAUACCCGGGUAGUC